Molecule: ribosomal RNA, 389 nt
Filed under: uncultured bacterium
Lineage: Bacteria
Description: bacterial SSU rRNA
Rfam family: Bacterial small subunit ribosomal RNA
Source: RNAcentral
GACGAACGCUGGCGGCGUGCUUAACACAUGCAAGUCGAGCGGUAAGGCCCUUUCGGGGGUACGACGAGCGGCGAACGGGUGAGUAACACGUGGGUGACCUGCCCUCAGCUCUGGGACAAGCCUGGGAGACCGGGUCUAAUACCGGAUAUGACUCCAUGACGCAUGUUGUGGGGUGGAAAGCCUUGUGCGGCUGAGGAUGGGCCCGCGGCCUAUCAGCUUGUUGGUGGGGUGANGGCCUACCAAGGCGACGACGGGUAGCCGGCCUGAGAGGGCGACCGGCCACACUGGGACUGAGACACGGCCCAGACUCCUACGGGAGGCAGCAGUGGGGAAUCUUGCGCAAUGGGCGAAAGCCUGACGCAGCGACGCCGCGUGAGGGAUGACGGCCU